Long non-coding RNA from Daktulosphaira vitifoliae (grape phylloxera), 310 nucleotides. RefSeq lists it as uncharacterized. Lineage: Eukaryota; Metazoa; Arthropoda; Insecta; Hemiptera; Phylloxeridae. The transcript is spliced from 3 exons. The record is from RefSeq and is a predicted model, not a curated record.
GCGAGGGACUUAACGUAUUUCAAAUAAACCUCUUUGAAUACUUGAUAACGGAUUGUGAUUGUGGUAGAUCCAUUGAAAAAGUACAAUAUGCAUUAUUUUGUCAUGAUAUCGAAGAGGCUUACAAUGAUUAUAACCUUGAUGAUGAAAUAAGUGUAAGAAUUUUCAAGAUUUUGAAUUUUUUGGUUAGAAUUAAAAAGAGAGGCGAUGACAAAAGAGUUGAAAAACUUGAUAUAAAUGAGGUUCAAAUAAUCUCGAAUAAAUUUAGUAAUAUUGAUACAGACAACAAUGGCUUGAUACUUAAGGAACAAUG